GAUCAUGGCUCAGGAUGAACGCUGGCGGCGUGCUUAACACAUGCAAGUCGAACGGGGAAAUACUUUAUUGAAACUUUGGUGGAUUUAAUUUAUUUCUAGUGGCGGACGGGUGAGUAACGCGUGGGUAACCUGCCUUAUACUGGGGGAUAACAGCCAGAAAUGACUGCUAAUACCGCAUAAGCGCACAGAACCGCAUGGUUCGGUGUGAAAAACUCCGGUGGUAUAAGAUGGACCCGCGUUGGAUUAGCUGGUUGG
Molecule: ribosomal RNA, 255 nt
Filed under: uncultured bacterium
Lineage: Bacteria
Description: partial 16S ribosomal RNA
Rfam family: Bacterial small subunit ribosomal RNA
Source: RNAcentral